GAUGAACGCUGGCGGCGUGCCUAAUACAUGCCAGUCGAGCGAACAGACGAGGAGCUUGCUCCUCUGACGUUAGCGGCGGACGGGUGAGUAACACGUGGAUAACCUACCUAUAAGACUGGGAUAACUUCGGGAACCCGGAGCUAAUACCGGAUAAUAUAUUGAACCGCAUGGUUCAAUAGUGAAAGACGGUUUUGCUUUCACUUAUAGAUGAUUCCGCGCCGCAUUAGCUAGUUGGUAAGGUAACGGCUUACCAAGGCAACGAUGCGUAGCCGACCUGAGAGGGUGAUCGGCCACACUGGAACUGAGACACGGUCCAGACUCCUACGGGAGGCAGCAGUAGGGAAUCUUCCGCAAUGGGCGAAAGCCUGACGGAGCAACGCCGCGUGAGUGAUGAAGGUCUUCGGAUCGUAAAACUCUGUUAUUAGGGAAGAACAAAUGUGUAAGUAACUAUGCACGUCUUGACGGUACCUAAUCAGAAAGCCACGGCUAACUACGUG
Molecule: ribosomal RNA, 497 nt
Filed under: uncultured bacterium
Lineage: Bacteria
Description: partial 16S ribosomal RNA
Rfam family: Bacterial small subunit ribosomal RNA
Source: RNAcentral